CUUCACCGGCAAUUUACCUUGGACCAGGCGCCCCCGGAGCUGCGGGUGGAGGCGCAGAGCCGUAGCCCCGAGGAGAGGAGUUUGAGAGCCGCCAUCUUCGGGGCCCGCUGUGGAAGACUUGGCGGGUUGCAGCGCGCGUGAGUGUGCAAGCGCUGGUUGCCGGGGCCGCCGCGGCGUCACAGGGAGAGAAGAAGGGGAGGCGCUCGGGGGGCGGGCUGGAGGCUCGACCGCGCGUCGCUGACGUCCUCGGGGCCUCCAGCGCGUCACCGCCCAUUGCCUGCUGCAGACUCGUGGAGAAGCGAGGCUGGGAGGGGCCGGCGGCCCGGAGUGGAGGAGGAAAAAUGCUUGACAGAGAAAUCUCAACUUAUGGAAUGAAAAUGAAAAUUGUGUUUUCUUCCAGUGUCUUUGAGAUCCAAAGUCCACAUUUCUUAACAUGUCAUAGAAGGGAUCAACUCUCCUGGUCUUCCUCCCCCACACAGACUCUGAUUUAUAUUCCAAAUUAUAUGUGCCUCUGGAUUUUUACAUAAUAAAUACAACUUCAAAAUCAAGUGUUAAUAGAAUGAUUUAAAAAAAUCAUAGACUCUGUAGCUAGACUAAUCAAAUCUCAAGCUCUGCUGUUCCCUUGUUACGUGGAUCCCUAUGGUAAAACAGUUCAGAAGAACUUGCAGAAUGUCAAGAUAUAGGACAAUAUCUAUACCAGUAUUUGUACCUAGUGUUAUGUUUAAAGAUUAUACCUUGUGAAUUUAUUUCAUAGAGACUGUCCAUCUGUUUGUUUGUUUGUUUGGGUACAAAGGAUUGAACUCAGGGGUACUAGACCACUGAGCCACAUCCUCAGCCCUAAUUUGUAUUUUAUUAAGAGACAGGGUCUCACUGAGUUGCUAGCUCCCUUUUGCUGAGGUUGGCUUUGAACUCACCAUUCUCUUGUCUCAGCCUCUGGAGCUGCUGGGAUUACAGGCAUGCACCGCUGCACCUGGCUGUCCAACUGUGCUUGCUGGUGGGGAAAAAAAAAAAAAAAAAUACCUCAGACUGGGUAACUUGUAAACAGAAAUUUAUUUCUCAAAGUUUUAGAGACUAGAAAGUCAAGAUACCAACAGAUUCAGUGUGCUAAAAUAAAUUAAAUUUGACCUAAAGUUCCCUGUGUGUUUUGAAUUCCUAGAAAACUGCAGUGUAAUUGAGGAAUAUAUUCUUAGGACAAAUAACUUGAAUCCCAGUUAAUCACAGCAGCCAAAGGUUAGCAAAUCAGACUGCCAAAUGAUCAGACCAUUUUUCCAUAAGGCAAAUGACUCAUCCCACCAUGCCCCAAAAAAGACAAAUGCUGAUUUGUAACCAAUCAAGCUGUUUCUGUGUGGCACUUCCAUUUUCUGUCCUUACUGCCUGCCCACAUUGCUUGGAGCUCUCUAAUCCACUACUGGUUCAGAGUGCUACCAGAUUCGUGAAUUGUUCUUUGCUAAAUUUAACUCUGCUAAACCUAAUUUUUCUAAAGAUUUUCUUUUAAGAGGUCUGGUGAAGAUCUGUUCUUCGUAGAGAGCACCCUCUUUGUGUCUGUACACUUCUGAAGGAACAAACAGUCCCUCUUACCUCUUUUAUAAUAGCACUAAUUCCAUUCAUGAGGGCUCCACCAUUGGUAUAGUCUAGAUAUGGAUCAUCCCUCCAAAAUCUCCUGUUAAUCCAGGAAUAUUAAGAGGAAUAUUAAGAGGAAUGAUUACAUUAUGCUGUCACCUAAUUAGUCCAUCCUAGUUUGUUUGGACUGACUGGGUGGUUACUGUAAGCAGGGUGAAGGGAGUGAUUGGAGAAGGUCAAUCACUAGGGACUUGCCCUGAAAGGGUGUAUCUUCCCUGUGGUCCUUCUCCCAUGAUGUGCUGCCUUACCUUGGGCCUAAAGCAAUGGAGUUGGCUGAAUAUGAACUGAGACCUCUGAAGCCCUGAGUCCCAAAUUCUUCUCUCAGUUGUUCAUCAGGUGUUUUGGUCACCACGACACAAAAACUGACAAAAACAAACCUUGCAACUUAAUCAUCAUCUAAUGGCCCUACCUUUUAAUACUAUCACAAUGGGAAUUAGGUUUCAACUUAGCAGUUGCAGGGGUGGGGAGAUAUUCAGGCCAUGUCCGUUGCCUUCUCUUCUUUCAUACUCUAGAAAAUAUCAGGCAGGAUUCAAACCCUGUACUUUAUGACAUUAAAGACAGCUUUUACCUUUACACAUCCCUCUUUCUCAGAUAUUUUUGACUUUCACCUCAACUCUCCAGUUUAAUUCUGCACUAAUUCAGAACCGGAGCUUCAGUUUCUCUAAUCUGGAUUAUAUAAUUCCCUCCUAAAUAUAUGUCUCUUCUCCCUCAAUGUAACUAUCUUAAAAUUAUCAUUUCAAACACAGUCCAAUCUCACAUCCUUCCCUAAAAUAUUUCAAAAUAUCUUUAUCAGCUACAAGUUGAAGCCCAACAUCUAGGCAUAGCCAAGAUUUUUUAAAAUAUGGUCUUAAUAUACCCUCUAAUUGUAAAGGCUAAGCAGAGGUACUUUAGGAGCUGAACAUUUGAAAUUAAAUUAAUUUAUCUUUUAUCAAUUUUCAAAAGUUUUUUGUAGUUGUAAUAUGGACAGAAUGCCUUUAUUUUAUUUGUGUUACUUUUAUGUGGUA
Molecule: long non-coding RNA, 2624 nt
Organism: Sciurus carolinensis (gray squirrel)
Lineage: Eukaryota; Metazoa; Chordata; Mammalia; Rodentia; Sciuridae
Exons: 3
Source: RefSeq, a predicted model, not a curated record